Otolemur garnettii (small-eared galago) is the source of this 107-nucleotide small nuclear RNA. Lineage: Eukaryota; Metazoa; Chordata; Mammalia; Primates; Galagidae. The record is from Ensembl.
GUGCUCACUUUGGCGGGACAUAUACUAAAAUUGGAAUGAUACAGAGGAGAUUAGCAUGGCCCCUGCGCAAGGAUGACACACCAAUUUGUGAAGUGUUCCAUACUAAU